AAAAAAUGCGUCAACGCAAUUAAUAUUUUCCGAGUCCGAUCGUUUUAUUUUGUUCGUGUAUGAACGCCAAUUGUGAGACUUUUUUUCUGUUUUAACGUUUAUAUCUUGGCUUUCAUAUAACCCGGAUGAAAAUUCGACUGGUUUCCGGUAAUUAAUUGACGAAACACCCUUCUCGCGCAAGACCGGAAUCCAGUAAAAUAGUCACAUGAUUAAUACGAUUAGUUACCCGGUUUCCAUGACGUACUUUAAGAGCUAUAUAUAGAAUCACUGGGAUUCCCAGAUUUGAGUGUUCGUCGGGAGAGAGAGAGAGAGAGCGAGAUCGUUGUACAUGGUACAAAUUGGAUACGUGUCGACGUUCCCAAAAGAAAAAAAACAUGUCUUUGAGGGUUGGGACUGAAGGCCUUGUUUUGAGGGUGUUUUGCAGACCAGUGGUUGUCGGCCUGGGGAUUUUCAAGAAAAACUGUAGACUGCCCCCUUAAUUAAGUUAUAUUACAAAGAAAACCACCCAGUUUCAUCCAGAAUUGACUGAAGAGUACAAAAAAAAAUUUUAGAUGGGUUUAAAACUUUGGACUGCUAUCUUAAGGUUGGGACUGAAGGCCUUGUUUUGAGGGUGUUUUGCAGACCAGUGGUUGUCGGCCUAGGGAUUUUCAAGAAAAACUGUAGACUGCCCCCUUAAUUAAGGUUGGAACUGAAGGCCUUGUUUUGAGGGUGUUUUGCAGACCAGUGGUUGUGGGCCUGAUGAUUUUCAAGAAAAACUGUAGACUGCCCCCUUAAUUAAGGUUGGGACUGAAGGUUUGUUUUGAGGGUGUUUUGCAGACCAGUGGUUGUCGGCCUGAGGAUUUUCAAGAAAAACUGAAGAAUGCCCCCUUAAUUAAGGUUGGGACUGAAGGCCUUGUUUUGAGGGUGUUUUGCAGACCAGUUGUUGUCGGCCUCAGGAUUUUCAAGAAAAACUGAAGACUGCCCCCUUAAUUAAGAAGGCUCCCAUUGCUGUGGAGUGCAUUGAACGACAUCAUGGCCUAGAAGAACAAACCCGGGGAUAAUACCAGCAGCAACAAGUAUCACGCAACCGCCAAAAUGCACGCCGCCAUUUUGAAGCACGUCAGAGUGAACCGAUGGUUUCCAUGGAUUCCAUGAAGAUUCAGAGGAUUUGCUGGUUUUUAAUUGUCCAAUUAUUUUUAAAAAUAAACAUUUUGGGGAAUGU
Molecule: long non-coding RNA, 1201 nt
Organism: Dreissena polymorpha
Lineage: Eukaryota; Metazoa; Mollusca; Bivalvia; Myida; Dreissenidae
Exons: 9
Source: RefSeq, a predicted model, not a curated record